ACCCGGUGAUCUAGCCAUGGGCAGGUUGAAGGUUGGGUAACACUAACUGGAGGACCGAACCGACUAAUGUUGAAAAAUUAGCGGAUGACCUGUGGCUGGGGGUGAAAGGCCAAUCAAACCGGGAGAUAGCUGGUUCUCCCCGAAAGCUAUUUAGGUAGCGCCUCGUGAAUUCAUCUCCGGGGGUAGAGCACUGUUUCGGCUAGGGGGCCAUCCCGGCUUACCAACCCGAUGCAAACUGCGAAUACCGGAGAAUGUUAUCACGGGAGACACACGGCGGGUGCUAACGUCCGUCGUGAAGAGGGAAACAACCCAGACCGCCAGCUAAGGUCCCAAAGUCAUGGUUAAGUGGGAAACGAUGUGGGAAGGCCCAGACAGCCAGGAUGUUGGCUUAGAAGCAGCCAUCAUUUAAAGAAAGCGUAAUAGCUCACUGGUCGAGUCGGCCUGCGCGGAAGAUGUAACGGGGCUAAACCAUGCACCGAAGCUGCGGCAGCGAACGUAUCACCCAAGACAACUUUACGGAGUUGACGAUUGACGGAGCGAAGCGACGUCAAAGCGUUCAUUAAAGUCGAGUUGGCUUAGGGAUACGUUCGUUGGGUAGGGGAGCGUUCUGUAAGCCUGUGAAGGUGUGUCGUGAGGCAUGCUGGAGGUAUCAGAAGUGCGAAUGCUGACAUAAGUAACGAUAAAGCGGGUGAAAAGCCCGCUCGCCGGAAGACCAAGGGUUCCUGUCCAACGUUAAUCGGGGCAGGGUGAGUCGACCCCUAAGGCGAGGCCGAAAGGCGUAGUCGAUGGGAAACGGGUUAAUAUUCCCGUACUUGGUGUUACUGCGAAGGGGGGACGGAGAAGGCUAUGUUGGCCGGGCGACGGUUGUCCCGGUUUAAGCGUGUAGGUGUGUGUUCCAGGUAAAUCCGGUUCACUUUAACACUGAGGCGUGACGACGAGGCACUACGGUGCUGAAGCAACAAAUGCCCUGCUUCCAGGAAAA
Molecule: ribosomal RNA, 982 nt
Filed under: Salmonella enterica subsp. enterica
Lineage: Bacteria; Pseudomonadati; Pseudomonadota; Gammaproteobacteria; Enterobacterales; Enterobacteriaceae
Description: partial 23S ribosomal RNA
Rfam family: Bacterial large subunit ribosomal RNA
Source: RNAcentral